Molecule: long non-coding RNA, 234 nt
Filed under: Vigna radiata
Lineage: Eukaryota; Viridiplantae; Streptophyta; Magnoliopsida; Fabales; Fabaceae
Description: long non-coding RNA (VRAD_LNC010404)
Source: RNAcentral
GGAGAGUAUGGAGACGAGAGAUAAACAAAUUGGAUAAGUGAGUAAGGUAGAUUAGGGUUACGCAAGGGUUUCUGAAAAUGUUGGAGUGGAAGAGAUGAAAGAGAAAGGGUUCAGAGGAAUGAGGGAGGUGAGUAAUGACCUUAAAACUUAAAGUCCAUGAUAAAUGAGGAUAUUUUUGUCUACUAUAAUCCGGUACACAUUGUUAAAACGUACCAACUGAAAAACAGGCCUACG